This 85-nucleotide non-coding RNA is filed under the name bovine gut metagenome. The record is from RNAcentral.
UCGGGGUGCACGGAAACAGGGGUUUCCGCAGCUGAGAUUAAACCCGUAAACCUGAUCCGGGCAAUACCGGCGUAGGGAAGUUUAA